RNAcentral lists this ribosomal RNA (259 nucleotides) under uncultured bacterium. RNAcentral describes it as "partial 16S ribosomal RNA". It matches the Rfam family "Bacterial small subunit ribosomal RNA", at positions 96 to 353 of the family's 1533-position model. The record is from RNAcentral.
UGGCGGACGGGUGAGUAACGCGUGGGUAACCUGCCCUGUACAGGGGGAUAACAGUCAGAAAUGACUGCUAAUACCGCAUAAGACCACAGCACCACAUGGUGCAGGGGUAAAAACUCCGGUGGUACAGGAUGGACCCGCGUCUGAUUAGCUGGUUGGUGAGGUAACGGCUCACCAAGGCGACGAUCAGUAGCCGGCUUGAGAGAGUGAACGGCCACAUUGGGACUGAGACACGGCCCAAACUCCUACGGGAGGCAGCAUG